GCAGCACAAUGGACCCGUGCAUCUGGUUGUUAACCAGAAAGCUGGUGGUUCGAGGCCACCCAGCGACG
This is a non-coding RNA of Podarcis lilfordi (Lilford's wall lizard), 68 nucleotides long. NCBI's taxonomy places the organism in Eukaryota, Metazoa, Chordata, Lepidosauria, Squamata, Lacertidae. The record is from the annotation of a GenBank genome assembly.